CCUACGGGAAGCAGCAGUGGGGGAUAUUGCACAAUGGGGGGAACCCUGAUGCAGCGACGCCGCGUGGGUGAAGAAGCGCCUCGGCGCGUAAAGCCCUGUCAGCAGGGAAGAAAAUGACGGUACCUGAAGAAGAAGCCCCGGCUAACUACGUGCCAGCAGCCGCGGUAAUACGUAGGGGGCAAGUGUUAUCCGGAUUUACUGGGUGUAAAGGGGGCGCAGACGGCGAUGCAAGCCAGGAGUGAAAGCCCGGGGCCCAACCCCGGGACUGCUCUUGGAACUGCGUGGCUAGAGUGCAGGAGGGGCAGGCGGAAUUCCUGGUGUAGCGGUGAAAUGCGUAGAUAUCAGGAGGAACACCGGUGGCGAAGGCGGCCUGCUGGACUGCAACUGACGUUGAGGCCCGAAAGCGUGGAGAGCAAACAGGAUUAGAUACCCCUGUAGUC
Molecule: ribosomal RNA, 440 nt
Filed under: uncultured bacterium
Lineage: Bacteria
Description: partial 16S ribosomal RNA
Rfam family: Bacterial small subunit ribosomal RNA
Source: RNAcentral